AUUGAACGCUGGCGGCAGGCCUAACACAUGCAAGUCGAGCGGAUGAAGGGAGCUUGCUCCUGGAUUCAGCGGCGGACGGGUGAGUAAUGCCUAGGAAUCUGCCUGGUAGUGGGGGAUAACGUCCGGAAACGGGCGCUAAUACCGCAUACGUCCUGAGGGGGAAAGUGGGGGAUCUUCGGACCUCACGCUAUCAGAUGAGCCUAGGUCGGAUUAGCUAGUUGGUGGGGUAAAGGCCUACCAAGGCGACGAUCCGUAACUGGUCUGGGAGGAUGAUCAGUCACACUGGAACUGAGACACGGUCCAGACUCCUACGGGAGGCAGCAGUGGGGAAUAUUGGACAAUGGGCGAAAGCCUGAUCCAGCCAUGCCGCGUGUGUGAAGAAGGUCUUCGGAUUGUAAAGCACUUUAAGUUGGGAGGAAGGGCAGUAAGUUAAUACCUUGCUGUUUUGACGUUACCAACAGAAUAAGCACCGGCUAACUUCGUG
RNAcentral lists this ribosomal RNA (484 nucleotides) under uncultured bacterium. RNAcentral describes it as "partial 16S ribosomal RNA". It matches the Rfam family "Bacterial small subunit ribosomal RNA", at positions 30 to 507 of the family's 1533-position model. The record is from RNAcentral.